This 497-nucleotide ribosomal RNA is filed under the name uncultured bacterium. Its description in RNAcentral is "partial 16S ribosomal RNA". It matches the Rfam family "Bacterial small subunit ribosomal RNA", at positions 28 to 507 of the family's 1533-position model. The record is from RNAcentral.
GAUGAACGCUGGCGGCGUGCCUAAUACAUGCAAGUCGAGCGAACAGACGAGGAGCUUGCUCCUCUGACGUUAGCGGCGGACGGGUGAGUAACACGUGGAUAACCUACCUAUACGACUGGGAUAACUUCGGGAAACCGGAGCUAAUACCGGAUAAUAUAUUGAACCGCAUGGUUCAAUAGUGAAAGACGGUUUUGCUGUCACUUAUAGAUGGAUCCGCGCCGCAUUAGCUAGUUGGUAAGGUAACGGCUUACCAAGGCAACGAUGCGUAGCCGACCUGAGAGGGUGAUCGGCCACACUGGAACUGAGACACGGUCCAGACUCCUACGGGAGGCAGCAGUAGGGAAUCUUCCGCAAUGGGCGAAAGCUUGACGGAGCAACGCCGCGUGAGUGAUGAAGGUCUUCGGAUCGUAAAACUCUGUUAUUAGGGAAGAACAAAUGUGUAAGUAACUAUGCACGUCUUGACGGUACCUAAUCAGAAAGCAACGGCUAACUACGUG